CUGCAACACCUCAACAGCAACAAGCACACCUGCUACCUAGAACUUGGUUUCUAAAAACCAUCCUCCUCUAAAAGGAAACAGAGCUCUUUGAAGAAAUGGUGAGACAGUCAACAAACCUCUAACCACCGACCUUUUCUCCUCUGCCCUCCACUCACACUCUGCUCCAUCACCCUCAGCCACACAGCUGACGCUGUAGAGAUUCACUGACAUCCAGUCUGAUGGACACUGUUUCUCCAGCCGAAACUGCUCAUGAGAACAUGUGCAGUGAAGUGCUCCAGAGGCCCCAGCAUGCUACAUUACAGAAGACUGAACUCAGGAGAGAUGAGGAAUAAUCCCCUCCAUCACACCAGACACCAGGAGGGUGUGCCAAGGUAUUGUAAUAAUACUGCGUGACAUUACGGACAACUUAGCCUAAAUUACGGAAAAUCAAAUUAUUUAGUAGAACUGCAAGACAAUCCUCUCGGUUGUUGUAAGGUAACUUUGCUGGACUUGUGAAGAAUGGUGUGCAAGGUCCAGAGCGACUGCAGGAGAGGGAAGGUGGGAUUCCCACAGAGCAGGAGCACAGAUGAGCCAAGCAAGGCCCUGCUUAGAAGGCAGCAAUCAACAGAGAUGCACAGACCUGUGAGGGUGCCGGGACAGCCAUGCAACAAUGCAGCCCUUUUGCUUCCUAAGGUCACCAGUUCCCUCGCUCCACCUCUGAGAGGUGGUUUGGAGAAACACAGCCCUUCUCAAGAGGGUUGCAAGCUACUUAAGUACUGAAAAUUUCCACAAGGCUGAGUCAAAUCUGCAUUUCAUCAUCUAUAAGAAAGGUACCUAUCGAGAACACCCUGCUGGCCAGUGUGUAAAUAUCUAAAGGAGGACUCAGAAAACACCGGGGAAGUCCAGCCUGCACGUGGUGGCUGGGCUUCAGUGAAGCAUGGAGCACAACAGGAGUUAGCAGACCACAAAGAGCAUGUCUGGACCUAGAACCACAGCAUGUAACCUCGGAAGCAGUGAGACACCAGCCAGCAUGGACAAGCAGCAGGCACUUGCUCUAUACC
This 1040-nucleotide long non-coding RNA is filed under the name Pan troglodytes (chimpanzee). RNAcentral describes it as "lincRNA". Lineage: Eukaryota; Metazoa; Chordata; Mammalia; Primates; Hominidae. The record is from RNAcentral.